GCCAUACAGCGAAUCCUGGAGAGCAGGGGAGGCCGACUUAAAAUCCGCCAAGUGUCGGUUCGAGUCCGACUGGGGGCA
This 78-nucleotide transfer RNA is filed under the name Mycobacteroides abscessus. Its description in RNAcentral is "tRNA-Leu". The record is from RNAcentral. RNAcentral also lists the same sequence under 2 other names. Lineage: Bacteria; Bacillati; Actinomycetota; Actinomycetes; Mycobacteriales; Mycobacteriaceae.